Vespa mandarinia (Asian giant hornet) is the source of this 609-nucleotide long non-coding RNA. RefSeq lists it as uncharacterized. NCBI's taxonomy places the organism in Eukaryota, Metazoa, Arthropoda, Insecta, Hymenoptera, Vespidae. The record is from RefSeq and is a predicted model, not a curated record.
UCGGACGGAAGGGCAAACAAAUUUCACUCGUGACAACAGAAAAUCACAUUCGCAAUCAAGAGAGGCGAGCAUAUCAAAAAGGUUUUCGCGUGAACGAUCCGACGAGCAAUUAUGUUCACCGACUACGUUAAUGCGGUCGAAGCUUUUUUUUCGAGAAAGGAAAAAGCUUUUUGGACGAUUCAGCCCAAAGAUGAGGAUGAAAAAGAAAAAUGGUCGGGUGGAAGGAACGCAAAAUAAAAUAUUAUAAUCCUUAUGAUUAACCUAAUAUCGAUGCAUUGCCGACGACGAUGGUGACCAUUACUAAGACCUUACUUCUACCCUAAACUCAUCGGCCAUUCGAUGAAGGUGAAAGUUUUCUUCUUUGGAGGGUUGCCGAAGAAAAUUACCGGAUGGAAAAAAGUAAGAAAAAAGAAAAAAAUAAAAAAAAAAAAAAAGAGAAGAAGAAAGAAAAAAGUAAAGGAAAACGGGAAGGACGUGUCUCUCGUUUCGAACUUCGAGAUCGGAACCUUCGCGAUCGUUUCCAACGUCGCUCGUGCCUUUACUCGUGCGUUUCAUCUACGCACACGUAUACACGCACAUACACACACACAAAUACAAAUACACAUGCAU